CAGUUAUAAGAGCAGACACAGGUGCUAAAGAAUGACUGGCAGUGAAGAGAACUGUCAAAUGGGGGACCAAGACUUAGGUGGCUGUGUCAGAGGACAAUAGAAAGAGAAUAAACAGACCUUUAGCACCACCCUGAAUCACCUCUUUCCAUGCAUUUGUGAGUAGAUAAAAUACUUGUUCACUUUCUCACACAUUCAAAGACAGAGGGUGGUACAUAGGGGAUGUCUGAAUGCAGAAAUGCGAUAUAGUCUCUAUCUCCAAUGUCAAGAUACUGGGAGCAUUUUUUUAAUCUUGUGCUGUGUUUUUUAACUUUUGAACUAUUUGAUGGCAGCCCCUCUGCCUUUGCAGGCUGAGAACAAGAGCAUGGGAAGAUAAAGAACUUGAUGACUUCAGCCAUCUGCUGUUCAACGACGUUUUCCAUUACAAACCUUGUGAACAGAAGGGAGCUGCAGAAGGCUAAGUCUGUCGGGUGCAGGAGCACAGAACUUUUUAGUUACUGAAAGUCCCAGUGGGACUUUUUAAUAGAACCAAGAUGUCUUGAUGAAUGGGAGAUGCACCUUUGCGUGCCUAAAUACCCUUCCAUCUACUACCAAAAGGGCCCAAGUAUGAGGAUGAGGGUCCAGACAUUUCCAACUUUCUCCCACAGUCCACAGCAAAUGUUGCAGGGAGAGGCAUUGUGUCUGGACAGAUCAGUACAGUUUUCCUAUACAAUUCUUUUUUGUGUGUGUAUGUGUAUGUGUUAGGCCAAUAUCAAACAACUCAAUUACAUUUCUCUUCCAGGAAGAAGAUUAAAAAUCAUCAGAGCAAACACCAUGAGUUGGAAGUAAAAAGGCUUCAGACAUCAUCAUCAAAGGAUCCUUGCCUCAGCACAGGCUUGGCACUGGGGAAAUCCCAAAGUAAAGCUUGUGGAGGGGACUGUUUCAGUAGAAGAGCGCUGCUGUUGACUGACAGAGUUGAGUCACUCUUCCCAGAAGGGUUCAAAAAGAGGUCAGACAUAUUAACUGCAGAGAAAACAAGCUAAAUCUGUAAUUGAAUUACUUUAAUCUAUACCAUCCCCUUCUAGCAUAUUUUAUUUUCACAAUCAACCAACCAAGCAGCUGGCUUUUCAGCAUUUGCUUCCCCCCCACCCCUUUGUUUACACUCCUUUCUAGCUAUUAUAAUUCGUGUCAGUGUUAAAAGGCUUUGACUGAGGUUCUGCCCUGUUUUAUUACUGUACCUCCCUGCAAGAGGAGGAUCUUUGCCCUGAAAGUUUGCAAUUGAUAAGGGCAGGCCGUACAGGGCUGAGAGAAAGGGAGGACUCUCUCUUUUGAUUAAGGAAGAGCUCACCUACAGCAAAAUCAAGUGAUUCAUCCAAGCUUACUUGGAAAACAAAGCUGCCCAGCCUUUCCAGCCCUUACCUAGGGCUCUGAACACAAGGUGCUCUUGCUGUACUUGCCUGCUUUCCUCUUGUUGGAAAUCGGAUGGUGGUGGUGUAAACUUUGCUCAGGGAGCAUUCAGGUGGCCUUCGUUAAUACAAAUUAAAGAUGUUCUAAGUACCCUAACUCUGCAUGGUUUCCUCUGUUGGCAGUCCUGCCAGUCAUAGUUCUGCUGACUUCCCAAUCUUGUGCUAGUAAAACACAUUUUCCCUCUGAAGUGUUUGAGAGUGUUCUGACUUUCUUCAGGA
This 1661-nucleotide long non-coding RNA is filed under the name Calidris pugnax (ruff). RNAcentral's name for it is "lncRNA (ENSCPUG00000012517.1)". Lineage: Eukaryota; Metazoa; Chordata; Aves; Charadriiformes; Scolopacidae. The record is from RNAcentral.